UAUAUAAUAAGCUAAAUAAAGCUAAUAGGUUCAUACCCUACUGAUAAAUUUAAUAAAUUUUUAUAUAA
RNAcentral lists this transfer RNA (68 nucleotides) under Bombus waltoni. RNAcentral's name for it is "tRNA-Met". The record is from RNAcentral. Lineage: Eukaryota; Metazoa; Arthropoda; Insecta; Hymenoptera; Apidae.